GAUGAACGCUGGCGGCGUGCCUAAUACAUGCAAGUCGAGCGAACGGACGAGAAGCUUGCUUCUCUGAUGUUAGCGGCGGACGGGUGAGUAACACGUGGAUAACCUACCUAUAAGACUGGUAUAACUUCGGGAAACCGGAUCUAACACCGGAUGAUAUUUUGCACCGCAUUGUUCAAAAGUGAGAUACGGUCUUGCUGUCACUUAUAGAUGGAUCCGCGCUGCAUUAGCUAGUUGGUAAGGUAACGGCUUUCCACGGCAACGAUGCAUAGCCGACCUGAGAGGGUGAUCGGCCACACGGGAACUGAGCCACGGUCCAGACUCCUACGGGAGGCAGCAGUAGGGAAUCUUACGCAAUGGGCGAAAGCAUGACGGAGCAACGCCGCGUGAGUGAUGAAGGUCUUCGGAUCGUAAAACUCUGUUAUUAGGGAAGAACAUAUGUGUAAGUAACUGUGCACAUCUUGACGGUACCUAAUCAGAAAGCCACGGCUAACUACGUG
Molecule: ribosomal RNA, 497 nt
Filed under: uncultured bacterium
Lineage: Bacteria
Description: partial 16S ribosomal RNA
Rfam family: Bacterial small subunit ribosomal RNA
Source: RNAcentral